ACGCUCGACACCUACUGGAGGCAGCAGUCGGGAAUAUUGCGCAAUGGAGGAAACUCUGACGCAGUGACGCCGCGUAUGGGAAGAAGGUUUUCGGAUUGUAAACCAUUUUAGACAAGGAAGAAACAAGACAGUACUUGUAGAAUAAGCUCCGGCUAACUACGUGCCAGCAGCAGCGGUAAUCUGAGGCGGCUGGCGAAGGC
This 200-nucleotide ribosomal RNA is filed under the name uncultured bacterium. RNAcentral's name for it is "partial 16S ribosomal RNA". It matches the Rfam family "Bacterial small subunit ribosomal RNA", at positions 328 to 540 of the family's 1533-position model. The record is from RNAcentral.